RNAcentral lists this unclassified non-coding RNA (323 nucleotides) under Hevea brasiliensis (rubber tree). The record is from RNAcentral. Lineage: Eukaryota; Viridiplantae; Streptophyta; Magnoliopsida; Malpighiales; Euphorbiaceae.
ACAUUUGCCCUCACUUCUCCUCUGCAUCAAACCCCAAAUAUUCAACACACUACGCCACGUCUGCAACUUCUUGAAUUUGAAACCCUUUUUGCUAAUCCCACUAGCAACAGAAUCCGCAUCCUUAGAAAGAGAAUUGGUUUUCCCUGCAUGAUAAUCUUUAAGCGAAUACCAAUUUGAAUCCCUCAAUUCUUUCUCUGUGACUAACAACUUUGCCCCAUGGAAUAAUCCAACUGUUUCAGGAGAUACCUUAGCAUUGGAUAUUGAUCUGAAGUCGUCAUCCCCUAAUGUAACCCCCCUAUUUGAACCUAGGCGAUCAAAACUUC